UUUUUUUUUUUUUUUUUUUUUAAGGUAUCAGGCCAUCUUAUUGAAAGGUGACUGUGUAGCCGGGCGUGGUAGCGCAUGCCUUUAAUCCCAGGAUUUGGGAGGCAGAGGCAGGCGGAUUUCUGAGUUCAAGGUCAGCCUGGUCUACAAAGUGAGUUCCAGGACAGCCAGGGCUACAGAGAAACCCUGUCUUGAAAAACCGAAAAACAAAACAAAGCAAAAGGUGACUGUCACUGCUGAAAAAGGCUGGCUGUAGUCACAGAUGUGAGACAGGGGGCUUGCCUUUUUUGUUUCCUGGAGGUCCCUGUGAGAACAGGUGGGGAGGCUGUCUUCAGAUGCAGGUUCCUCUUAAGAGAGCAGAGCUAACAGGGUUCAGCAAGGUUGGUGAUGGUGUCACCAUGGAGCCUGUGGUACAGAGAUCUCAAUGUGGAAUGAUAGACAGCUUGCACGUUGUAGAAUUGGAUGUCUGUGUCAAAAUACACCUUCCAAUUUGCUGGUACCCAGGAACAGAGACAGAGAGCCAGGUUGUGUUAGAGUCCUGGCAUGUGGCAGGGCAGGUUUGGAACUCUGGCAUCUAGCCUGACUUGGGCUCAGGUCUGUUGAGUCUUUUGUGGUCUAGUAUGUGGAUGUCUUCAGAAGGUCUUGGCAGACCUGGAAUAGGUGAUGAUUUUGGGGUGUUUUCUGUAGCCCCUGGGGCUGAAGCCAAAUGAAUCUCCUUUUUCAGAGAUCUGUGUCUCUUCUCACAGCUGGCCCUGUUCACAGGUCAUCCUGCCAGGGACUAUACCUAGCCAGUAGCUCAUGUCUUACAGUGUCACAGUUUGUCUAGUUCUUGGAUAUUCUAAAUAGGUAAAUAGAGGUACUGGGGUGGGGGGUGUUAAGUUCCCCACCCAAAGUGGAGUGGGAAACACUUGUGUUACAAGUGUUCAUAGCAGCUAUGGUCUAAGAAGCCUUGGGUAAAGGCCAUGUUCUGGUCCCCACUCUCUAAGGAGCUAGCCACUGAGCUAACAGACUGGUCUGCCCCACCCCCACCCUCUUAGCACCAUCCCCCUUCAGUCUCUACCAGAACAGAAGUGGCCUUGUGGCUGGAGCCCCCACCUUCCCUAGCUCCCAGUGACCCCACCUCCUGCCAGCAACACCCCAGCAGCACAUUCCAUUCUCUGGCACUGCUGGUGGCUGGGGAUUCCGGGCUCCUUUGGCGGUGAGCCUUCUUUGGGGCUCCAGCAGAGGCUGUUUGGGCUGGGACACUAGGCUCCAGCCACACACAUUCCAGCAACAAACACCCCCCACAUUAGAUUUCCCAAGGAGUGAACUUUAGCCAGGAUUACAGAUGGCUGCACAGUUGUGGGAUGUGAGCUUGCUUUGUGCAGACCUGAGGCUGGAUGCUAGUAGGGGUGAAAAGGAAUGGGUGGGAGCGGCAGGCUUCUCUGCUGCUGCCUGGGCUCUUGUAGCAUCACGGAAGCAGCUGAAGGCAGCCUUUGAGAUUGCCUGUCCCGUCCUAUCUCACCUCUGUAGAAGGUGGUAAUAGUCCUCAGACUUUUAAGCUGUAGGCUGUGAUUCCGUGUGGUAUCCCGUAACUGCAUGUGAGGAUUGGGAAAAGUUUGGUGACAGUAAAAGGCUAUCAGACACCGAGCAACUAAAAAACAAUUCAAAACCAAACUUGAAAAUCAGUUGGAGGUGUUUGUGGAGUCCUGUCCUGAGCAUCGCAGUCUUGGUUCUGAACACACAACAGGCACCCUGUGCCCUCUGCCUCCCCUCCUGCCACACAGCCAGUGAACACUCCUUGAAUCACACAGAUGUGAGACCACUGCAUAUUGUGAACUGCAGUGUUUUUACUGUCCAGUCAGCUCCUGCUUUUACAGGAACACAAUGGCUUACAGAAAAUAAGGACAUACUAUUGCCCUGCUUGCAUGUAAAUAUC
RNAcentral lists this long non-coding RNA (1915 nucleotides) under Mus musculus (house mouse). RNAcentral describes it as "long non-coding RNA chr19:42192342-42194257". The record is from RNAcentral. Lineage: Eukaryota; Metazoa; Chordata; Mammalia; Rodentia; Muridae.